This is a non-coding RNA of Setomelanomma holmii, 68 nucleotides long. Lineage: Eukaryota; Fungi; Ascomycota; Dothideomycetes; Pleosporales; Phaeosphaeriaceae. The record is from the annotation of a GenBank genome assembly.
ACAGUUCUGCAGCGGUAGGAUAAUUGCCUUCCAAGCAAUUGGCCCGGGUUCGACUCCCGGAGGGUGCA